ACACUGGAUGCUUCAGUGGACACAACCAGCCUUCAAGAAGCACGUGGACCUAGAGAAAGCUCUGCCACCUACAUGCCACAGCAUGUUCAUGCCGAGAACUGCAGGGAAAAAAGAAAUGGCUUAUAUUGACAGACUACCAUCAAUGUGCCAGAGAGGUCUUCUUAUCUCAUCUUAGAGGUGAGAGAACAAGUCAACCCGCUGGUAAACGGGCCAAUCAGAAAUGAAAUCAGUUCAUCACCAGUUUCCAUUUUAAAAAGCCUCCUGCAUCAUUCUCUGCACAUAUGCAGCAGAUAUAGACACACAAGCACACCCCUAAGGAGACAGCCCACUUGGACUCAAGGACAUUCACUGUGGCAGCUCUCUGAAGACAGUAUUAUUUCUUUGGCACAGAAAAGCGUGCUGUUCCUUAAGAGGACAUUAGAGGAGAACAACUUGUCUCCCUACUGAACCCUUUGCACAGAUAUCUUCUAGAAGGACUUGUUCCUUACCCACUGGCCCUUGAUUCUGUCUCACUACUGAAUGAGGCUUGUCCACCAAACAGCUUUAAGGAUGGGUGUGUGCUCCGGAGAGAGCAGGAAACAAGUGAGAGCCGGUCUGCUUUCUGUGGGUCAGCCAACGUCUCCGCCAGUCCUAUGACUGUCAUUUCACUGAGGAUUGAUAUGCCUGAAGUCACUACAAAAACAAAUGAUGCUCUAAAGCUCAUUCUGCCCUUGCAUGAAGAAGCCAAAAAAAUCGGGCUCUAAUCUAUUUUAGAAUUGGCAUAAUGAGACAAAAGAGUCCACUGUGGGAAAUUUUUGCUUAUGCAAUGAAA
RNAcentral lists this long non-coding RNA (811 nucleotides) under Pongo abelii (Sumatran orangutan). Its description in RNAcentral is "lincRNA". Lineage: Eukaryota; Metazoa; Chordata; Mammalia; Primates; Hominidae. The record is from RNAcentral.